RNAcentral lists this ribosomal RNA (207 nucleotides) under uncultured bacterium. RNAcentral describes it as "partial 16S ribosomal RNA". It matches the Rfam family "Bacterial small subunit ribosomal RNA", at positions 568 to 774 of the family's 1533-position model. The record is from RNAcentral.
CGUGUAGGCGGUUUAUUAAGUCAGAUGUGAAAGCCCACGGCUUAACCGUGGAACGGCAUUUGAUACUGAUAGGCUUGAGUAUGAGAAGGGGUAGUGGAAUUCCCAGUGUAGCGGUGAAAUGCGUAGAUAUUGGGAAGAACACCAGUAGCGAGGGCGACUACCUGGCUCAUUACUGACGCUAAUGCGCGAAAGCGCGGGGGGCAAACA